CUACGGUUAAGACAGAAUGGUGUAAACACUGGCAGAUGUGGGAAAAUAAGAGUCGACAGAAUUUAAGGAACACAACAAGUAAACACACUAAUUACUAUAGAAUAGGAACUAGAUGUUUGUAAGAGUUCUGUAUCAUCAAUGCCCUAUUUAGUAUCCGGCAAAUGUUGAAGACACAAUAUAUGUUUGUUACCUUGAAUAAAAAAAACAGAUAUGAGAAAGUAGUUCCAUUAUUGUCAGCUGAGUUUCUAGAGCAAACCAUAAAGUUCUGGUUGUGUGACAGAUCUUCUAAACAUAAUUUUCAAUUAGUGUUAAACAGAGCUUACAUAUGGGAAGUCUGCUAAACCCCCUGUGUUCACAGUCCUAUUGCCAAAAGUUAUGCAGAAAUAAACUCAAAUUUUUGAUGUGCUGAAUUUUGAUGUAAUUAUGUAUGUGUUAGACACAAUACCAGUAAAUCCUUUUUUUCCUAAGCAGCUGUCAAUCCACUGAUCUAAAUUGUAAUUUCCUUCUAAGGAAAACAUAAAACUGUUAUACUCUAGUUAAAAAAAUUAGACUUGACAAAAAAAAAAGUUGAUGUUUCUUUAGAUCUUAAAAUGCUAAAUCUGAGUUAAUUCAUUUAAGUAAUUAUAAAUAGCAAUCAUUUAAGAUUUUAUAGUAUCUGACACAAUAAGAAAUUACAACAAGAAGCAGUAAUUUUACAACUAGA
Molecule: long non-coding RNA, 703 nt
Filed under: Bos taurus (domestic cattle)
Lineage: Eukaryota; Metazoa; Chordata; Mammalia; Artiodactyla; Bovidae
Description: long non-coding RNA NONBTAT020149
Source: RNAcentral